RNAcentral lists this unclassified non-coding RNA (397 nucleotides) under Hevea brasiliensis (rubber tree). Lineage: Eukaryota; Viridiplantae; Streptophyta; Magnoliopsida; Malpighiales; Euphorbiaceae. The record is from RNAcentral.
CAAGGACUGCGUUAGAUUAUUACAGCAUAUCUAACAGUGGUCAUCCAACCCAUUAAUCUACAAGCUUGGUGCCAAAAAUUCUGUAAUUCCUACUUCCCCAAGUGUUAUUUCUGUCAAGGUAAUAGGAUUUUAUGCAACACUGCACCCAAGGUGGUUUUCUUGCAGCAUCCUCAAUUUCUUUGCCAUCAUCAUUUACGGGCACACCAAGCAAUUUGUUUCGCUUCCUUGUUAAUACAUCAAUGGAGGGAUACCCAUAAAAAAACUUCUCCCCAUCUUCAUCAAACAGAAAGGCAUGGAUUCUAGCAGUUGGAUCCUCCAUGGUCAGUCUAAUCCUGUAGGUUCCACUAUGAGAGCAGAAAUCCUCAACACGCCAUGGUAAUCCAGCCACUACUCGAAC